CCCUAUGGGGUGCAGCAGGCGAGAAAACUCUGCAGUGUGCGAAAGCACGACAAGGUUAAUCCGAGUGGUUUCUGCUAAAGGAACCUUUUGUCAGUCCUAGAAACACUGAUGAAUAAGGGGUGGGCAAGUUCUGGUGUCAGCCGCCGCGGUAAAACCAGCACCUCAAGUGGUCAGGAUGAUUAUUGGGCCUAAAGCAUCCGUAGCCGGCUCUGUAAGUUUUCGGUUAAAUCUGUACGCUCAACGUACAGGCUGCCGGGAAUACUGCAAAGCUAGGGAGUGGGAGAGGUAGACGGUACUCGGUAGGAAGGGGUAAAAUCCUUUGAUCUAUUGAUGACCACCUGUGGCGAAGGCGGUCUACCAGAACACGUCCGACGGUGAGGGAUGAAAGCUGGGGGAGCAAACCGGAUUAGAUACCCGGGUAGUCCCAGCUGUAAACCAUGCAAACUCAGUGAUGCAUUGGCUUGUGGCCAAUGCAGUGCUGCAGGGAAGCCGUUAAGUUUGCCGCCUGGGAAGUACGUACGCAAGUAUGAAACUUAAAGGAAUUGGCGGGGGAGCACCACAAGGGGUGAAGCCUGCGGUUCAAUUGGAGUCAACGCCCGAAAUCUUACCCCGAGAGACAGCAAAAUAAAGUCGAGCUGAAGACUUUCCCCACAACUGAGAAGUGGGUGCUGGGCC
RNAcentral lists this ribosomal RNA (675 nucleotides) under uncultured marine group I thaumarchaeote. Its description in RNAcentral is "bacterial SSU rRNA". It matches the Rfam family "Archaeal small subunit ribosomal RNA", at positions 321 to 999 of the family's 1478-position model. Lineage: Archaea; Thermoproteati; Nitrososphaerota. The record is from RNAcentral.